RNAcentral lists this long non-coding RNA (3322 nucleotides) under Homo sapiens (human). Its description in RNAcentral is "HSALNT0405670". The stretch from base 2389 to 2536 matches the Rfam family "Metazoan signal recognition particle RNA". Lineage: Eukaryota; Metazoa; Chordata; Mammalia; Primates; Hominidae. The record is from RNAcentral.
GGUAAGGAGAAGUCCUAGGGCCACCCCCCGCUUGCUUUGAUGACCAGCUUGGCCUGCCAUGACCCAGCUGCUUACUGAGAGCCAAGAUUUAGUUUAAAAAUGUCCUGGGCUCCCUCAUUGUGACUCAAACUCCAGAAGGCCUUAAUACCUUUCCUAGAAGAUCCCACAGAAUGGGUUUCAGGGACAACACUGUACUGAGACCACACGUUCCAGCUUCCACCAAACCCUCUCCAUGCUUGUUUCCUGACCUACAAAAUGGGGAUAGCAAUGUAGGGAUACUUCAGCAAGUUGUUAUGUAAAGUGUAUAUACACUGCUUGGCAAAUAGUGAACAUUUAAUCAACAGUAGUCAUUAUUAUUAUACUACCAUUAUUAUAAUAUUUACUAAAAACAAUUAUUAUGUAAUUAUUAUUAGAGUAUGGUUAUAAUAGUAUGAGGUGAGAAGGUUCCCUCCAGAGGCCAGGGGAGGUGAUGGCAUGAAGGGAAACCCUCCAGAGCCAUCUGAAACCUCCCAACAGGAGAUUGCACAGGAGAUGGAGGUAGGAGAAGAUGUGAUGUGCUCUCUGAAGGGAUCUCUCUUGGUUCCACAGUUCUUUGGCCUCCUUGAAGAGAAUUACCCAGAGACCCUGAAGUUCAUGCUCAUCGUGAAAGGUAUGUGACAAAUGACUUCACUUACUUGUGCCUCUGUUUCCUCAUCUGUACGCUGAGGGUGAUAACACUGUCUUUGUCCCAGGAUUGUUGUGAGGCAGGUUGGUUUCUUGGCUGUAUGCAAAUCACUUAGAAUGCCUGGCAUAGAGUAAGUUCUCAAUAAAUGGUAACUUCUAGGGUUGGCCUUACUGCAAGAGAAGGCAGCUCCAGUCCCAGCUCUCCCAGGGAUCCUCCCUUAUUUCUCCUGUCCAUGAUGAUCUCUCCCUCCCCAGACUGCUUCUGGCACUGGCAACUGGUGCAGCCUUCCCUGUUUGCUGCCUUUUAGGGAUCUCCAGCUGUUUUAUUUGUGCUCAUCCUGCUUUACUGGCUGAGUUUUCUGCUCCUUGAAGCCAGGGGCUGUGAUUCUCCACUUUUGUUGUAGCCCUCACAGGCCUGGGUCCAUGGUGGAUGCUCCAUAGGUAUUUGGGUAAUUGUUGUGGGUAGAUGAAAGGAUGGAUGGAUGUUUGGUGAUUGGCUAGUUGGUUGAUCAGUUGGUUGCUUGAUUGGUUGUUCAGCUGACUGGCCAGUUGGUUGCUUGGCUAGUUGACUAACUGGUGGUUCGUUGGAGAAUUGGCUGGCUGCUUGGUUGGCUAGUUCUUAGCUUGGUUGACUGAUUGAGUGGCUGGUUGGCAUUUUGGUUGGUAGGUUGUUUUGAUGGCUAGUUAGUUGGUUGCCUGGUUAGCAGGUUGGUUAGUUGGUUGCCUGGUUUGUUGUUUGGCUGAAUCUUAGAUGAUUAUUUGGAUGGUGGCUGGCUGGUUAUUUGGAUGGUUGGCUGGCUGGUUAUUUGACUGACUGGCUGGCUAGUUAUUUGGAUGGUUGGCUGGCUGGUUAUUUGACUGACUGGCUGGCUGGUUAUUUGGAUGGUUGGAUGACUGGUUAUUUGGAUGGUUGGCUGGCUGGUUAUUUGGAUGGUUGGCUGGCUAGAGAACACAGUUAGUUGAGUGGUUAUCUGGCUGUUCCAUUGGCUGAUUGCUUUGCUGUUUGGCUGAUUUGUUAGAUGGUUGACUAUUUGGUAGGUUGGCUGGUUAGAAGUUAAAUUGUUUGACUAUUUGUUGUCAGUUGGUUGGUUUGUUGCAUAGUUGGUUGGCUGUUUGGUAGGUUGGCUGGUUUAUUGGUUGACUGAAUAGGUGGCUGAUUAGAAGUUUGAAUGACUGGCUGGUUUGUUGGCUGAAUGGUUGGUUGAUGGUUGCAUUGCAUGAUUGAUGCAUGAUUGGUUAGUUGGCUGUUUGUUGGCUGGUUGACUGGUUGGUUGGAUGGUUUGUUGGGUGCAGGACAGACACUGGAAUUGACCAGGGUUAGUCAUGACUCCUCUGUAUCAUUGGCUAUAACCAUUAUGGAGGGGGUUGCCCAAUGUAAUUCUUUUCUUCCCAUUAUCCUUACUUCUAUCUCUCCAGCUACCAAACUGUUCCCUGUGGGCUACAACCUCAUGAAGCCAUUCCUGAGUGAGGACACUCGCAGGAAAAUUAUUGUGUUGGGAAGUAAGUAGUGCCAGCUCAAUUUCCUGACCUCUAUACAUGACCUUUGGAGUGAGGUUGUCCCAUUACCCCAUCUAGAACUCCACACAUUAGGUUGGGUGCAGUGGCUCACGAAUGUAAUCCCAGCACUUUGGGAGGCUGAGGCAGGAGGAUUGCUUGAUAUCAGGAGGUUGAGACCAGCCACAGCAACAUAGCAAGACCCCAUCUCUACAAAAAAUUUAAAAAUUAGCUGGUUGUGGUGGUGCACACCUGUAAUUCCAGAUACUUAGGAGGCUGAGGUGGGAGGAUCACUUGAGCCCAGGAGUAUGAAGCUGCAGUGAGUCGUGUUCACACCACUGCACUCCAGCCUGGGCAACAGAGUGAGAACCUAUCUCAAAAACAACAGAACUCUACACAUCACCUAGUCAGAGGCUCCUUCUUCCCAACAGUGAAGUGGGUUUUACCCUAAAGAGUGUUACCUUUGCUCUUUUCCCUGCCAUACCCCUUUGGUGGACAAGGCCUCCACACCUACCACCUCACUGGUUUCAGUUUGGUUGCAGUCAAUUUCUGGUAUAUAGGCCUCGGUUUCUUUUCAACACUCAUAAGCUUAGUGCUUCCAAAGGCAACCUUGGCAGAAGAGGAUGAGGCAGACGAGCAGAAAGAGUAGUCACAAUUCAGAGAAAGGAGACCCAACAAGAAAGGACUGGAUAAAUAAAUAAUGGUGCAUGCAUUUGAUGAAUUCUGGAGCCGCCAUGAGAAAUAAGGCUAUAUGUGAAUAUUUAAUGCCAUGGAAAUGUCUUUAAGUUUUUAAAAGUAGAUUAUAAACUUAUCUUCAUAAGCAUAAACUAAAAUAAGAUUAAACUAAAAGUAUAAUCUUAUUUUAUGAAAACAUAUGUACAAUAAAUACAUAUUUCUACAAGGAAAAACAACAAAAUAUUUUUUGUUGAUAGUGAGAGAUCGUGUGGUUUUUAAUUUUAUUACCUGUAUUGUCUAUGAUUUCUAAACUGUAUAAUAAUAUGUAUUAAUUUUACAAAUAGGAGAAUAGUUGUGUUUACAAGUGACAGGCUGAGAGAAAGAGAGAGAAGGGAAAUAGUUCUUAAACCCAAACCAAUGACCCUGGCUUGGAGGAAAACUUCUCCCAAGCAGGAUAGUCAGAUCACAGAAUUAGGAGAACUGAGGAUCC